Molecule: transfer RNA, 85 nt
Filed under: Candidatus Auribacterota bacterium
Lineage: Bacteria; Pseudomonadati; Candidatus Auribacterota
Description: tRNA-Leu
Rfam family: tRNA
About the family: Transfer RNA (tRNA) molecules are approximately 80 nucleotides in length. Their secondary structure includes four short double-helical elements and three loops (D, anti-codon, and T loops).
Source: RNAcentral
GCCAGAGUGGCGGAAUCGGCAUACGCGAAGGUCUCAAAAACCUUUGCUCCUUGCGGGCGUGUGGGUUCGAGUCCCACCUCUGGCA